This is a long non-coding RNA of Nerophis ophidion (straightnose pipefish), 719 nucleotides long. RefSeq lists it as uncharacterized. The record is from RefSeq and is a predicted model, not a curated record. The transcript has 3 exons. Lineage: Eukaryota; Metazoa; Chordata; Actinopteri; Syngnathiformes; Syngnathidae.
UUGGGAGAUUGGGCGUGUUUUGGGCGAAGGCUUGGCUCCAGCUCUCAGCCUGGCACAGCUGAUCCCAGCACCCUAAUCACUCACCUGCCUGCCAUCAACUCAUCACCUGCAGCCUACAAAUGUUUGGACUCCACUCGGCGCGAUCGCCAGAUCGUUUCACCUUGCUACAUGCGUUCCCUACCUGCCGUGUGUGCCUACCUCAGCCUGCAAGCCACGGCCUGCUAGCCACAGCCUGCUAGCCUCGGCCUGCUAGCCUCGGCCUGCUAGCCACGGCCUGCUAGCCACAGCCUGCUAGCCACAGCCUGCUAGCCUCAGUGUGCUCUCCUGGACUGCAAAGCCUAGGACUACAAGCUGCCUCCUUUCCUUCAGUAUAAAAGGGGUGAAGGAGGAACACUGGCAGCAGAAGUAGGCGAGGAAACCACGGUGAACAAGGACCACGAGCACGACGAGAAAGACCCUGAGCGAGAUGAGCCUCUGCAGCAGACGCUGCCACCGGCCACCGAAAGGUGUGCCGCGACGAGGAGGAAGAGCCAGGGAGCUAGAAAUUGGCGCGACAGACUGGCAAGACAUGAUGUUUGUUGAAAGAAUAAACGAAAUUCAAACCUGUUACGAUGCGUCCUGUACCGAGUGUCACUGCAAACCACACGAGGAAGGCUGGAGACCCGUCACACCGAUAUUGAUCGAUACCGAUAUAUACAGUCGUGGAAUUAACACAUUAU